Long non-coding RNA from Gasterosteus aculeatus aculeatus (three-spined stickleback), 1907 nucleotides. Lineage: Eukaryota; Metazoa; Chordata; Actinopteri; Perciformes; Gasterosteidae. The record is from Ensembl.
GUAAUGGCGCCGACGCCACUGUCUGGUAUGAAUGACGACUGUUUGCGUUUCGUUCUCCUCACUAUCAGACUUAGAGACUUCUCCGUCCCGUCAAUAAAGACAACGCAGCCAAUGUUAUCAGUGUUACACAUUUCGGAUAAAGAAGGGAUCAGCCGGGCGGUGCUGUGUUUAGAGGUCAUGCAUUCACCAGACGCCAGCAUUCUGUUCGACAGAGACAGAAAUGGCCUCUGUGACACUAACUUGAAAGGAAUGCUUGCUAUUCGAGGCACCGUUGUAGAAGCCGUGGCAAUACUUCAUUAGCUAGCACACAGACCUGCCCUCCACACCCAACAGGCCUUUCUUGGAAGACAGGUUUUAAAGAAAAACGUAACAACAGAGAGAGCGAGAGAGGGGAGUCUGAGCUUGAUGACCCUGCAAGCCGAUUACAGGCCAUCCCGUGCUGCACACAAAGCCCUGUGAGGCCUUCUCAGCCUGCACCGUCGAAAACAACUGCAGCAAAGAGUCUGCAGACAAUAUGAACUGUCAUCGGCCUCACAAUGGUGAUUCACCAUAAAUGGUAAAUGGACUGUACUGCAUAGCGCUUUUCGACUCUUCUGACCACUCAAAGCGCUUUAAGACUACAUGACAUCAUUCACCCAUUCACACCCAUUCAUACACUGAUGACAGGAGAACCAAACACAGUGACACCUGCACAUCAGUAACUGACACACUGUAGUCGCAGCUACAGGAGCAACGUUGGGGUGUGUGCACCGUGUGUGCAAGGACACAUCAACAUGCGGGUUAGCAGAGCCUGGGAUCAAACCGACAACCCUCUGACUGGAGGACGACCGUGCUCCCCACUGUGAACAGUGCUGAGCCUUGUGGGAAAGCUUCCGUGUGCCAUCAGUGUGUGAUUUCUUGAACUGUUGACACUAAAACAACACAAAGCUUUGUGUGGGUUGAACUUCGUGGACGCUUUUUUAGCAGCAGUGCUAUACGCUAAAGGUUUUUAAGAUAAUCAAAUGUAAUAAAGUACUGAAUAUAACAUUCAGUUUAUGAACUCAAUGAAUAAAAGGAUAAAAUGAUUUUUGCAGGGAUGCCAAAUUUGAAUUUGUUUAAAAAAAGAAACUCAUGUAAUCCAAGGAGUGGCUUCAAGUAUCUCACAUACCUCCAGAGUCAAAUAAAAGUAACACCACUGCAGAUUGUCCUCUGCCCUCUGAGAGGCGCCACAGAGCCUGCGUGCCACAACAAGAGGACAACAUCAGCUGCUUUUGGUCCACGGAACAAUCCACGUAAAUAACCCCAUAGAGCUUCCGGAAAAGGAAUGACUUCAUUUGAAAGGUGUCCCAAACUCAAACCAGGUGCGAGCCAGAUGCAGCCCACCUCCACCGAACGCGGGCCGGACCAUCACGGUUGACGGGGGUGGCGGCGCUGACGGUCCGACCGGCGAACGGUACGGUCGACGGGGGGGGGUGCCAAAGUCGGUACCCCCCGGCGGGCCGGAUAUGGCCCGCGAGCCGGAGUUUGAGACCCCUGUUCUAGCUGAUCAUCAACAAAUGGAACUGGAAAUACAUGUGAUAUGUCGCAACACCCUCGAACUGUAACACUAUUAAUGAUAAAGUACAGCCUCUUAUACCUUAUUGCUUAAGUUUUGUCUGUUUUUGCCUGUUAUUCAUUUAUUUAUUCAAUUUGAGUUAGUUUGUUAACAAAAAUAAAUAUGUCAGUUUUAUCCUACUAUAUUUUAAUUUAAUUAUUAUUUUUAAUUUAAUGAAUCAAUUUGGCGAUUGGUGCCAUUUUGUUUUGGUUUGAGCACCUGCCCCCCAAAAUGUCUGUGCAGGUGUAACGCGGCUCGGAAGCAUGUGUAGACUUCCAGGCAGGCAGCAAAGCCAUCGAAGUUCCCGAGAGCGAGAUCACAAAGGCAGGUGGUA